CACGAACUAUGCCUCUCCUUUGUACCUUAUCGAUGCUCAUCACAGCAGUCUUAAGAGCUAGUGAUGGGCUACCAGUAACCCAGCCUGAUGACAAGGUGACUGUUGUGGAAGGCAAGCCCAUCCUUAUCAACUGUACGUACGAUUCAUCUGUUGACUACCUCUUCUGGUACAUUCUGUUACCUGGCCAGACUCCCCGGCUUUUUUUGAGGCAUUUGGGAGAUGACCCCUCCGAUGAGGGGCGUAUUCGAGACUUCAGUGCCACAAAGGAUGCAAAGCACAAAAGCUUCAACAUGGAGAAAGCCGGUAGCCGGUUGGAUGAUACUGCAAUCUAUUUCUGCGCUGGGAGUAACACACUUUCACACCCGUACACACUGAUCGCAGAUACAAUAGUGUGA
Varanus komodoensis (Komodo dragon) is the source of this 395-nucleotide non-coding RNA. The record is from the annotation of a RefSeq genome assembly. NCBI's taxonomy places the organism in Eukaryota, Metazoa, Chordata, Lepidosauria, Squamata, Varanidae.